RNAcentral lists this ribosomal RNA (450 nucleotides) under uncultured bacterium. RNAcentral's name for it is "partial 16S ribosomal RNA". It matches the Rfam family "Bacterial small subunit ribosomal RNA", at positions 354 to 796 of the family's 1533-position model. The record is from RNAcentral.
GUGGGGAAUUUUGGACAAUGGGCGCAAGCCUGAUCCAGCAAUGCCGCGUGCAGGAAGAAGGCCUUCGGGUUGUAAACUGCUUUUGUACGGAACGAAACGGUUCUCUCUAAUACAGGGGGCUAAUGACGGUACCGUAAGAAUAAGCACCGGCUAACUACGUGCCAGCAGCCGCGGUAAUACGUAGGGUGCAAGCGUUAAUCGGAAUUACUGGGCGUAAAGCGUGCGCAGGCGGUUUUGUAAGACAGAGGUGAAAUCCCCGGGCUCAACCUGGGAACUGCCUUUGUGACUGCAAGGCUGGAGUGCGGCAGAGGGGGAUGGAAUUCCGCGUGUAGCAGUGAAAUGCGUAGAUAUGCGGAGGAACACCGAUGGCGAAGGCAAUCCCCUGGGCCUGCACUGACGCUCAUGCACGAAAGCGUGGGGAGCAAACAGGAUUAGAAACCCUAGUAGUCC